RNAcentral lists this transfer RNA (70 nucleotides) under Ictidomys tridecemlineatus (thirteen-lined ground squirrel). RNAcentral describes it as "Spermophilus tridecemlineatus (thirteen-lined ground squirrel) tRNA". It matches the Rfam family "tRNA". Rfam says of the family: Transfer RNA (tRNA) molecules are approximately 80 nucleotides in length. Their secondary structure includes four short double-helical elements and three loops (D, anti-codon, and T loops). Lineage: Eukaryota; Metazoa; Chordata; Mammalia; Rodentia; Sciuridae. The record is from Rfam by way of RNAcentral.
GGGGCUGUGGCUCAGUGGUGGAGCGCUUGCCUAGCGUGCAUGAGGCACUGGGUUCAACCCCCCACCCCCU